Molecule: non-coding RNA, 292 nt
Organism: Nothobranchius furzeri (turquoise killifish)
Lineage: Eukaryota; Metazoa; Chordata; Actinopteri; Cyprinodontiformes; Nothobranchiidae
Source: RefSeq, a predicted model, not a curated record
GGGGGUGACUUGCUCUUUAAAGCUAAUUCUGUGGUUGUAACUGGGAGCCAAUGAAGGGAAGCCAAGAGACGAUUUCGUGGCGUGCUGCUUUACCAGGAACUGCCUGAGCACCCUGUGCUUUUCUUCAGCAGGUCCAGAGUCUGCCUCCUCUUGCUCACCGAUGACUUUUGCCCACUUUCCGUCAGCCAAUCAGCCUCCUUUUUGGUUGAAGACCCAAGUUCCUGGGAAAAAAAAAGAAGAAAAGUCACAUUUAGUUUUAAAGGUGCAAAAUGUAAAAAUGAAGUAAGAAUUA